This is a non-coding RNA of Marmota flaviventris (yellow-bellied marmot), 1924 nucleotides long. Lineage: Eukaryota; Metazoa; Chordata; Mammalia; Rodentia; Sciuridae. The record is from RefSeq and is a predicted model, not a curated record.
GCCAUCGACUCACUCGUUCCCAUAUGUGUGAUCUCCCACCGGCGCCAGCCCUGUCUGUAUGCCAGGGAAGUAGUUUUGGAGGGAGAGGAGUUUAUUCAGGGUCUCAUGAAAGAAAAGGGCGCACUAUUUUACAAGAGCCCUACAACUUAGGAGUCAUGUCCUUCCCUCGGCCGCCGCGGGUCGCGGAGGGAUCUCUCAGACACGCCUCGCUUCCGGUGUUAGCUGAAAGGGCGGGGAGAGAAGUUUUUCUUGCCAGGGAAGCUUUUUUUAGAAGACCGAGCCGCCUGGUUAUCUCGCGAGAUGCUGAUGGGAAGCGCGCGUCGAGCCGAUUGGCCCAUGCGUGGUGAAUCAUGUCUAUUUUGAGUUCCUAUUGGCUCCAGGCCUGAGGUGGGCGGGCUGUUCAGCGAGCCCAAGAUCCGGGUGGGUAGGAUCCCCUCGCAGGGCGGUCACCUCUGUUCUUGUUUGAGACCCUGCGGCUUCAGUGGCUCCCUCAGCCCGGCCCCUUGCCGAGCGGCCACAAACGGGCAGGCUUCCGCUAGCAGGCAGCUUUACCCAGCACGCCUCAAAUAGUGGCAGCCGGGCCUGGCUGGGGGUCCUUCCUACUCGGAAUUAGCCAAAUGACAGCCCAAGUCCCCCCUCCCACCCACCAGGGCGCUCUCUCCCUUCCGGACCGGUUGGGCUGCUUCCGACCCGGAAAGGUCCCUGAAAGUCACCUGGCCCAAGACUUUAUUUUCCAGUGGAGCCGACAGCGAGCGGCUGGCCCGGCCCCCCCAGGUAGGCUCGAGGACCGCAGCGGAAAUCAGGGACUGGGACGGCGCUCCUGGUGGGGCCUCAUUGGGCGGUCACCCGAGCCCUGCGUCCCUUCUCUGAGCCCGAGGUCCGGAAGGAUGCGUGUUGUCUCCCUAUUCUAUGUUCACGUUGCCCAUUCGAAAAUAAAAGUAUGAGGACUUUGGUUCGUGCAGACUCGAUUCCCCCAAGAGCAGGUUUCAUGCGACUGGUGUAGCCCUGGGGUAGUUCUGAUUAACUGCCAGGCACGGACAGCUUCCCUACAAGCCCUCCCAAUGGCCUUGUGAAGCGAAGCCUGCUCAGGGUCGUUUGGCUGGGGGCGGGGGGUUUAGAAACUGUGGUCUUAGUGGGCAGGCCCCCCACCACCACCCGCGGGAGGCCGGGGUGCCAAGAAACCUCCCUCCACAGUCCGUUCCCGUGAAGGUAGAAACCUUCCCCUCCACUUGCGUCUGCCAUACAAAUAUCAUUUCUACAAAUGCUGGCUUUGUCAUUUAUUAGCUGGGACAUUUGACAAAGUGACAUACUUGUUUUCUCAUCGAUUGAGCAUCCUCGUCCUAGGAAUGGAGUGAGACCAUAUACAUAAAGCACUUAGCACGCUGCCUCCUACAUAGUGGCCGAUAAAUGGUUGCUAUUGUUACUAUUAUUAGAACUCAGGUUUCAGGCCCCGACCUCCCAAUCCCAUGCCAUCACCUACUUCUGCAGAGGACUCCUGUUUAUAGUUACAUGAAACCGACACUAGAACGCGAUCCAAGGCAUCCUGGAUGCUGGAUGGUGCCAACAGGAUCUCCAGAGGGAAGAGGAAAAGCAGGUGCUGUUCCUUCAAGGCAAAAGUGGGAGACGCUGAACAGAGAGGCAGAGUAAUGGAGACAGCUACUUCAUCUUUCCCCAAAGAGUUUUUAAAAAGGCAGAAUUUUGUCGUCUUCCAUCCAAGCAGCCCAGAGCACUUGGUCAUCAUCCACAUUUUAUUGUGAGGAAAAUGGCAGCAAGAGGACAGCCAGCCCAGUCAGCGGACCCAAGGACCAAGGCUUCUGAGGACUUGUAAGAGGCUCAAUUCUAAAAUGAAGUUAUGGUUUUGUGAAGAAUAAUUAAGUCAGAGUUGCCCUGAAAAACAGGAAAUAAACUCAUUUCCUCACCUAAA